Molecule: ribosomal RNA, 253 nt
Filed under: uncultured bacterium
Lineage: Bacteria
Description: partial 16S ribosomal RNA
Rfam family: Bacterial small subunit ribosomal RNA
Source: RNAcentral
UACAGAGGAUGCAAGCGUUAUCCGGAAUGAUUGGGCGUAAAGCGUCUGUAGGUGGCUUUUUAAGUCCGCCGUCAAAUCCCAGGGCUCAACUCUGGACAGGCGGUGGAAACUACCAAGCUGGAGUACGGUAGGGGCAGAGGGAAUUUCCGGUGGAGCGGUGAAAUGCGCAGAUAUCAGGAGGAACACCCGUAGCGAAGGCGGCACUCUGGGCCGAUUCUGACACUGAGGAGCGAAAGCGUGGGGAGCGAACAGG